RNAcentral lists this long non-coding RNA (3347 nucleotides) under Equus asinus (donkey). Its description in RNAcentral is "lncRNA (ENSEASG00005031916.1)". The record is from RNAcentral. Lineage: Eukaryota; Metazoa; Chordata; Mammalia; Perissodactyla; Equidae.
UCAACAGGCAAUUGCUGAAUGCCUCCUGUACAACAGGCAUUAUUCAAUUUGCUGGCGACAGAGAUGAGAAUGAUACAAACUCGAGUCUCAAAGAGCUCACAGUCUUGUCUGAAGAAGGAGAGGGCUGGUAGACAGCAAGGAAGUCAUGUGACUAGAAGGAACCUCGGAAAUCUAACCACAGCAUUCUCACUGCAUAUUCCCAAGGGGCCCUGGCCCUGCCACCUUCAACAUCAACCUAAUUUGAGUGGUCCUUUCAUGUGAAAAUGACUCCCCAUCAUCAAGGGCAACCCAUUCAUUAAUUAAAGAUGAUCUAGCACACUGGCCCAGCAUCCUCCCAAGACCAGACUAUUGACUCCUGGCAAGGUUUGGCCACAUCACACUUGAUGUUCCCAGUGGGAAUUUCUAUGAAUGCUGAAGUCUCAGAAAGCUGUUUUGAUCUGUCCCUCUAGGGAGAGGGACUUUUCUGGGGCAUAGACGCAAUGUGAAGCCUGAACUAAGUGGGUUCAUCUCUGGGCCUGAGAAAGACUACUUGAAGAGAAAAGCACAGCUUUGCAGCCAGUUUGAAGGAACUGUCUUGUGAGACUUGUUACAAAACUGGCCCAAGACACCCAAGUGCCUUCAUUCCCACGGUCUGUGAGUGCUGCUGAGUGCCAAAAAAAAAAAAAAAAAAAAAAAAAAUCAGCCCUCUGGAAAGGUCUGGGCUUCAUGGCUGUGACACAGCUAAUUAAAGUGCCAGGUCUGAGUAGCACUGGGCUGUUUCUCCAGGACACCUCACAGCUCUGGUGUGUCAUCUUAACGGGCUUCUUCUACCUGGAAGUAAAAGUUCUGAAUAUUUAAAAGAAGGAAAUUAUACAGUCAUCGGAACGCUAAUGUCUUGAGUUUCUAAAUGGAAUGGCGCUAUUACAUGAGGCUCCAGAGACACAGUCAGUUUACAUACAGAUUCUGAACUGGAAGAGAGGGCAAAGAGCAAAAGGCGAGGCCACCUGAAUCUGACACCAUAAACAAGCUUUCUCAGAACUUAAAAGAGCUUUCCCAGCGACACCCAUUUAUCAUUGGCUGGAACUGGGUCACGUGGACCAAGAUGCAAACGCUUGUGUUCAAAGGAUUCAUGUUUGCCUAUUUAAGGUCCCUACGGGAGUAUCAUUGCCACAGGAAUGGGUGCCACAUUUUAUGAAGCUAGAGACCACACUGCAAAGAAAAUGCCCGAAAGCAGUCAUUUCUCCGGCCUGGAAUUAAAAGUGACCCCCUUUCAUAUUUCCUUGGGCUCUGCAGGCCGAAGUGGAGACCCUAUUUGCCAAGUCUCAGCCACAGUUAAUUUACUUUCGUUUUAUUUUUCCUUACUCCUGAAUUGAAUUAUCACCUUCCUGAAGAGCCGUGUGUGUAAUGGAAAAGCUGACACCAGCCAAAGUGGAGUAUUGCAGCCCAAAUGAGGCUCCUAUUAUUGCCCUGUUACGGGAGGAACGGGCUUCUGUUUGCCCUUCAUUCAUCACCUGCUGACUGUGAAACCAAGUCGAGCUGCUUUGUUUUAAUGGCAGUUGUUCUGCCCUGACCUAUGCUGCUCGCCCACCCUGCUCCAGGAGCAAACAGAUGAGUUCCAUUUGGAGCUGAACUUACUGUGCAUGAAAAUCACGAGGGCAACGAGAUUUUUUCUUCGCCUUCAUGCAACGGGGAGCAUUAAGCACUGCAUUCUGUCCCUUGAAGUCCAGAACAGGACACCUGGCUAACGGGCACCCUAUGAGACCAUCUUAUCACACUUUUCAGACCGAAGGACCUCAGCUUUGUGCUGUCCCUCCUGCUAAGGCCUUUAAAGAUCCCUCCUAAGGUUUCCAUACGCAAGUGUGUUAAAAAUAUAUCCGAGGAAAUGAUUUUCAUAGUGGAUGUUUCCUGGCUUGUGUCACACACUAUAUAUACUUCCAAUUAGGACUAUUUAUUCCUCCCUCCACCAUGCCCCGAAGCAAGGUCCAUUUGUGAAAUCUAAUUAAACCUGCUUAUUUCCUUGGAAUGAAGGACAUUUUUAGAUCUUUCACUAGGCACGCUCCUCCUGUCUGGAAGAAUUUUGUUUGUUGGUGCGUUUUAGUCUUUCUGGGGGAGGAGGGAUAGUUUUUGUUAGUUUUUCUGAGAACCCAAAAUGAUUGGAGACCUUUUAUUUACUUAUUUUUUAAACACCAGUUUCCACAGGACACUGUGAAGGAGCCAGUGCAGACUCCCUUUAGUGAAGCUCUUUCCUUGGGUUCUAAAAGCUCCUUUGUUCUCAAUUCCCAUUACUUUUCUCUCUGACUGUGGAUGGUCUCCCCUCUCCCCACAGAGCUGAGAGUUCAUGGCUGUUUCUAAUCCAUAAUUAGCUGAAAUAGAAAAAUACUCUCCUUGAGGUAAUAAUUCUCCUGCAUUUGCCGCUCUUCGCCCAUCACAAUGCAAAACAGAACAUUCUCAGACCAUGUAUGAUCACUGACAUUGCCACAGGCACCAAAAAAUUUAUUUUUUUAAGCAGCUUUGCUAAGAUGGGGCUGUCCUUGGCCUCAUAUCUGUGGUGAAUCUAAAGGAGUCAGUGAAAGCAGAAAGGAGGCAAAUAAAAUGCAGAUUGACUCUGGGAAACAUCCAUUUCAUUGGCUCUGCUUACUGGAGAAGUGGCCCAUGGAAGAUUAUGUCACCUUUUGCACCAAGUUAACGCGGCUGUUUGUCAAGUGAGACGAGAAUUCUUUGUAUUUGUAUUCUUACCUAGCUCACAUUUUUAACGAUGUCUCUUCUCCAUUUCUCAUCCAGACAUUUUUCCCUAUCUGCUUUCAAUGCUAAUGUGUCCCUGUCCUGUUUUUCAAAUUAAAUACCACACUUAAAAUAUUAAUACCCCUUGCUCUUUGAUUCUUUGUUUAUUCAUCUUAUGCAAAACACAACAGUGAGCUUCCAUCUGUAUUAAAUGCUACUGUAUGGGCCAAUUCAAUGACUUAUUAAUGACUGUUCCAUGAUAUGGAGGGCUAGGCUUUAUAUAAUCAUGCAAUUCUUAUUCAGAAAUGCUCCGCUAGUACUACCCUGUAGGGAAAAAGAAUGAAAUAUGUCUGUGUUUUCGAAGAAAAAAUGACUUACUUUGUGAAGACCAUUAUAAGAUGACUAAGUAUUGAAACUAGGCCAAGUUACUUCAGUCUCCAAGGAAGUUAGCUCACGUCUUGAAGUAUUUGGGUAUGUAAAUUUUUGUAACAUUUUUGUAACAUUUAUUGAAGUGGAAACCACAUAGCAUAAAAUUAUAGGUCAAUGAAUUAACACAAAGUGUAUAACUGCCAUGGUCAAGAAAUAGGAUAUUUAAGGAGCCUUAUUCACGCCGCUAGCCCAUAUUCUGUUCGGGCUGUUUCCUCUUU